Molecule: ribosomal RNA, 252 nt
Filed under: uncultured bacterium
Lineage: Bacteria
Description: partial 16S ribosomal RNA
Rfam family: Bacterial small subunit ribosomal RNA
Source: RNAcentral
ACGAACCGUCCGAACGUUAUUCGGAAUAACUGGGCUUAAAGGGUUCGUAGGCGGCUAUGAAGGUGGGGUGUGAAAUCCCUCGGCUCAACCGAGGAACUGCGCUCCAAACCACAUGGCUUGAGGGAGACAGAGGUAAGCGGAACUGAUGGUGGAGCGGUGAAAUGCGUUGAUAUCAUCAGGAACACCGGUGGCGAAGGCGGCUUACUGGGUCUCUUCUGACGCUGAGGAACGAAAGCUAGGGGAGCGAACGGG